RNAcentral lists this transfer RNA (85 nucleotides) under Felis catus (domestic cat). It matches the Rfam family "tRNA". From Rfam's summary of the family: Transfer RNA (tRNA) molecules are approximately 80 nucleotides in length. Their secondary structure includes four short double-helical elements and three loops (D, anti-codon, and T loops). Further hydrogen bonds mediate the characteristic L-shaped molecular structure. tRNAs have two regions of fundamental functional importance: the anti-codon, which is responsible for specific mRNA codon recognition, and the 3' end, to which the tRNAs corresponding amino acid is attached (by aminoacyl-tRNA synthetases). tRNAs cope with the degeneracy of the genetic code in two manners: having more than one tRNA (with a specific anti-codon) for a particular amino acid; and 'wobble' base-pairing, i.e. permitting non-standard base-pairing at the 3rd anti-codon position. Lineage: Eukaryota; Metazoa; Chordata; Mammalia; Carnivora; Felidae. The record is from Rfam by way of RNAcentral.
GCCUAGGUGGCUCAGUCGGUUGAGCAUCUGACUUCAGCUCAGGUCAUGAUCUCGUGGUUUGUGAGUUUGAGCCCCACGUCAGGCU